RNAcentral lists this ribosomal RNA (253 nucleotides) under uncultured bacterium. RNAcentral's name for it is "partial 16S ribosomal RNA". It matches the Rfam family "Bacterial small subunit ribosomal RNA", at positions 524 to 776 of the family's 1533-position model. The record is from RNAcentral.
UACAGAGGGUGCGAGCGUUGUUCGGAACUACUGGGCGUAAAGCGCACGUAGGCGGCUUUGCAAGUUAGAGGUGAAAGCCCAGGGCUCAACCCUGGAAUUGCCUUUAAAACUGCAUCGCUAGAAUUGUGGAGAGGUAAGUGGAAUUCCGAGUGUAGAGGUGAAAUUCGUAGAUAUUCGGAAGAACACCAGUGGCGAAGGCGACUUACUGGACACAUAUUGACGCUGAGGUGCGAAAGCUAGGGGAGCAAACAGG